GAGUUUGAUCCUGGCCAGGACGAACGCUGGCGGCGUGCUUAACACAUGCAAGUCGAGCGGUAAGGCCCUUCGGGGUACACGAGCGGCGAACGGGUGAGUAACACGUGGGUAACCUGCCCUGUACUCUGGGAUAAGCCUUGGAAACGAGGUCUAAUACCGGAUACGACACUGAAUCGCAUGAUUUGGUGUGGAAAGUUCCGGCGGUAUGGGAUGGACCCGCGGCCUAUCAGCUUGUUGGUGGGGUAAUGGCCUACCAAGGCGACGACGGGUAGCCGGCCUGAGAGGGUGACCGGCCACACUGGGACUGAGACACGGCCCAGACUCCUACGGGAGGCAGCAGUGGGGAAUAUUGCACAAUGGGCGAAAGCCUGAUGCAGCGACGCCGCGUGAGGGAUGACGGCCUUCGGGUUGUAAACCUCUUUCAGCAGGGACGAAGGGCAAGUGACGGUACCUGCAGAAGAAGCACCGGCUGACUACGUGCCAGCAGCGCGGUGA
This 495-nucleotide ribosomal RNA is filed under the name uncultured Lentzea sp. RNAcentral's name for it is "bacterial SSU rRNA". It matches the Rfam family "Bacterial small subunit ribosomal RNA", at positions 9 to 523 of the family's 1533-position model. The record is from RNAcentral. Lineage: Bacteria; Bacillati; Actinomycetota; Actinomycetes; Pseudonocardiales; Pseudonocardiaceae.